RNAcentral lists this ribosomal RNA (994 nucleotides) under Phocaeicola vulgatus. RNAcentral's name for it is "bacterial SSU rRNA". It matches the Rfam family "Bacterial small subunit ribosomal RNA", at positions 61 to 1051 of the family's 1533-position model. The record is from RNAcentral. Lineage: Bacteria; Pseudomonadati; Bacteroidota; Bacteroidia; Bacteroidales; Bacteroidaceae.
GUCGAGGGGCAGCAUGGUCUUAGCUUGCUAAGGCCGAUGGCGACCGGCGCACGGGUGAGUAACACGUAUCCAACCUGCCGUCUACUCUUGGACAGCCUUCUGAAAGGAAGAUUAAUACAAGAUGGCAUCAUGAGUCCGCAUGUUCACAUGAUUAAAGGUAUUCCGGUAGACGAUGGGGAUGCGUUCCAUUAGAUAGUAGGCGGGGUAACGGCCCACCUAGUCUUCGAUGGAUAGGGGUUCUGAGAGGAAGGUCCCCCACAUUGGAACUGAGACACGGUCCAAACUCCUACGGGAGGCAGCAGUGAGGAAUAUUGGUCAAUGGGCGAGAGCCUGAACCAGCCAAGUAGCGUGAAGGAUGACUGCCCUAUGGGUUGUAAACUUCUUUUAUAAAGGAAUAAAGUCGGGUAUGGAUACCCGUUUGCAUGUACUUUAUGAAUAAGGAUCGGCUAACUCCGUGCCAGCAGCCGCGGUAAUACGGAGGAUCCGAGCGUUAUCCGGAUUUAUUGGGUUUAAAGGGAGCGUAGAUGGAUGUUUAAGUCAGUUGUGAAAGUUUGCGGCUCAACCGUAAAAUUGCAGUUGAUACUGGAUAUCUUGAGUGCAGUUGAGGCAGGCGGAAUUCGUGGUGUAGCGGUGAAAUGCUUAGAUAUCACGAAGAACUCCGAUUGCGAAGGCAGCCUGCUAAGCUGCAACUGACAUUGAGGCUCGAAAGUGUGGGUAUCAAACAGGAUUAGAUACCCUGGUAGUCCACACGGUAAACGAUGAAUACUCGCUGUUUGCGAUAUACUGCAAGCGGCCAAGCGAAAGCGUUAAGUAUUCCACCUGGGGAGUACGCCGGCAACGGUGAAACUCAAAGGAAUUGACGGGGGCCCGCACAAGCGGAGGAACAUGUGGUUUAAUUCGAUGAUACGCGAGGAACCUUACCCGGGCUUAAAUUGCAGAUGAAUUACGGUGAAAGCCGUAAGCCGCAAGGCAUCUGUGAAGUGCUGCAUGGUGU